This 253-nucleotide ribosomal RNA is filed under the name uncultured bacterium. RNAcentral's name for it is "partial 16S ribosomal RNA". It matches the Rfam family "Bacterial small subunit ribosomal RNA", at positions 524 to 776 of the family's 1533-position model. The record is from RNAcentral.
UACGUAGGGUCCGAGCGUUGUCCGGAUUUAUUGGGCGUAAAGAGCUCGUAGGCGGCCAACUAAGUCGGACGUGAAAUCCCUCAGCUUAACUGGGGAACUGCGUCCGAUACUGGAUGGCUUGAGUUUGGGAGAGGGAUGCGGAAUUCCAGGUGUAGCGGUGAAAUGCGUAGAUAUCUGGAGGAACACCGGUGGCGAAGGCGGCAUCCUGGACCAACACUGACACUGAGGAGCGAAAGCCAGGGGAGCAAACGGG